AACGAACGCUGGCGGCAGGCCUAACACAUGCAAGUCGAGCGCGCCUUCGGGUGCGCGGCGGACGGGUGAGUAACGCGUGGGAAUAUGCCCUUCUCUACGGAAUAGUCCUGGGAAACUGGGGGUAAUACCGUAUACGCCCUUUGGGGGAAAGAUUUAUCGGGGAAGGAUUAGCCCGCGUUGGAUUAGGUAGUUGGUGGGGUAAUGGCCUACCAAGCCGACGAUCCAUAGCUGGUUUGAGAGGAUGAUCAGCCACACUGGGACUGAGACACGGCCCAGACUCCUACGGGAAGCAGCAGUGGGGAAUCUUAGACAAUGGGGGCAACCCUGAUCUAGCCAUGCCGCGUGAGUGAUGAAGGCCUUAGGGUUGUAAAGCUCUUUCAGCUGGGAAGAUAAUGACGGUACCAGCAGAAGAAGCCCCGGCUAACUCCGUG
RNAcentral lists this ribosomal RNA (431 nucleotides) under uncultured bacterium. RNAcentral's name for it is "partial 16S ribosomal RNA". It matches the Rfam family "Bacterial small subunit ribosomal RNA", at positions 29 to 507 of the family's 1533-position model. The record is from RNAcentral.